AUCUUACUUCCUUCGUCCGGAAAUACUUGUCAUCAAAAUGAAUAAAAGAGAAUGUAUCUAGAUGUAUUUUAGUUUUGAAUACAUUCUUUUUUUCAUUUUGAUGACAAAUAUUUUCGGACAGAGGGAGUACGUG
Non-coding RNA from Triticum aestivum (bread wheat), 133 nucleotides. Lineage: Eukaryota; Viridiplantae; Streptophyta; Magnoliopsida; Poales; Poaceae. The record is from Rfam.